RNAcentral lists this transfer RNA (73 nucleotides) under Bos taurus (domestic cattle). It matches the Rfam family "tRNA". Rfam says of the family: Transfer RNA (tRNA) molecules are approximately 80 nucleotides in length. Their secondary structure includes four short double-helical elements and three loops (D, anti-codon, and T loops). Further hydrogen bonds mediate the characteristic L-shaped molecular structure. tRNAs have two regions of fundamental functional importance: the anti-codon, which is responsible for specific mRNA codon recognition, and the 3' end, to which the tRNAs corresponding amino acid is attached (by aminoacyl-tRNA synthetases). tRNAs cope with the degeneracy of the genetic code in two manners: having more than one tRNA (with a specific anti-codon) for a particular amino acid; and 'wobble' base-pairing, i.e. permitting non-standard base-pairing at the 3rd anti-codon position. The record is from Rfam by way of RNAcentral. Lineage: Eukaryota; Metazoa; Chordata; Mammalia; Artiodactyla; Bovidae.
UCCCUCGAGGUCCAGUGGUUAGGACUUGGUGUUUUCACUGCCAUGGGCCUGGGUUCAAUCCCUGGUUGGGGAA